AUCGCUUCUUGGCCUUUUGGCUAAGAUCAAGUGUAGUAUUUGAAUUCUGAAAUUUCAUCUUCCUCCUGCAGGGAGAUGGAAUUCCUUGACCAUUA
Molecule: small nuclear RNA, 95 nt
Filed under: Ochotona princeps (American pika)
Lineage: Eukaryota; Metazoa; Chordata; Mammalia; Lagomorpha; Ochotonidae
Description: U2 spliceosomal RNA (ENSOPRG00000024273.1)
Rfam family: U2 spliceosomal RNA
About the family: U2 is a small nuclear RNA (snRNA) component of the spliceosome (involved in pre-mRNA splicing).
Source: RNAcentral